This 378-nucleotide ribosomal RNA is filed under the name uncultured bacterium. RNAcentral's name for it is "bacterial SSU rRNA". It matches the Rfam family "Bacterial small subunit ribosomal RNA", at positions 521 to 896 of the family's 1533-position model. The record is from RNAcentral.
UAAUACGGGGGGGGCGAGCGUUGUCCGGAAUCAUUGGGCGUAAAGAGCGCGUAGGUGGAAUAGUAAGUCAGAGGUGAAAACCACAGGCUUAACCUGUGGCCUGCCUUUGGAACUGCUAUUCUUGAGUACGGAAGAGGGAAGUGGAAUUCCUGGUGUAGCGGUGAAAUGCGUAGAUAUCAGGAAGAACACCGGUAGCGAAGGCGACUUCCUGGUCCGUAACUGACGCUGAGGCGCGAAAGCGUGGGGAGCGAACAGGAUUAGAUACCCUGGUAGUCCACGCCGUAAACGAUGGGCACUAGGUGUUGGUUUACGAUAAGUAAGUCAGUGCCGAAGCUAACGCAUUAAGUGCCCCGCCUGGGGAGUACGAUCGCAAGGUUG